UUUCCUUUGAAGACCACCUGGCUACCAAUAACGGUCUCACCAGCCAAAUCCUGUAUUUGUGGGCCAAGACAGAAGAAGAACAACAAUGAAAAAAAGCUGGAAAUCUUAGAGCAGACUCACAUCUUAACUAGGAGAAUACGUGCUGGCCCAAGUGCCCCAGGACUGAAGCAAAUCAGACAUAGGGGAGGAGGGAGAAUGUUAGAAUGAGGCACACCUGAUUCAGCCGCUAAAUAGUCUGGUUGGCUAAGAAUCACAAUCGAGGCAUUUUGCCUUUCUAGUUUUCUUUGGUGAAGAUCUGUGAGCAUCCAAAUGAUAUGAAGAGCAAUAUGGCUAAUCUGCACUACUUCGGAAGCCUGGGAGGAAUACUUCCUCUUUGCUGGAUGUGGCGUCUGCGUGUACCAUCUGGAAUUGCUGUAGCCAACUUACAAAUACAGACGAAAGCUUUAUCAACCUGCUGAGCACAGCAGAAUGGAAAGAUGCAAAGCACCCUGCUCUUGGGAACUGGCCACCUUCAGACUUCUUGCUACAUCAGGUUUUAUCUACUACAAAGGAUAUCACUUGGGAAGGAAUUUCUUGAAACUGCUCCCAAGAGAGCCAUUGGACCAUGUGGUAAACAACUCCUAGCUGAUGGAUUAUUGGGAAUAUUAACAUCAUCCAGAAUGCUAUGGGGAGAAGACAACUGGAAGCUCCGUGUGGACAAACCUCCUGGACUCUGCCCCACAUAUCUCUUCCCUUGGCUGAUUUGAAUUUUUAGAAGCUGACAGCUGACACGCCCUUCCUUUGUGCAUUUUAUCCUGGGACAAAAUGAGAAGACAUCCUUCAGUUCCCCUCAUCAACAAGAAUUUACCAAGAAGAAUUCUCCAAUGCCAGUGAGAUUCUGAAAUCUCAUAGUUGUACUCAAUUAUAAAUUACUUAUUCACAUGAUCCAGGUUUUACAUGGGUUAAUUUUUUUAGAUAAUCAUCAGAAUGAAAACAUGACAUUUAAAAAAGCACAAAUAAGACUACAAAGAUUGUUACAUGUUCUCAGGAUCCCUGAGUCCAGGUUGAGAAAUGCUCUUUUAAAGACGCCCAGGCACAUGCAUUUUGGUUUAACAAUACUUGAUCUACUAAUAGUUCUCAUCAUGCAGUAAUUUAAGUAUUUGGUUGUAUUUUUGUAAGAAUUAAUAAAAUGUUAUA
This 1176-nucleotide long non-coding RNA is filed under the name Homo sapiens (human). RNAcentral describes it as "HSALNT0249021". The record is from RNAcentral. Lineage: Eukaryota; Metazoa; Chordata; Mammalia; Primates; Hominidae.